This 497-nucleotide ribosomal RNA is filed under the name uncultured bacterium. Its description in RNAcentral is "partial 16S ribosomal RNA". It matches the Rfam family "Bacterial small subunit ribosomal RNA", at positions 28 to 507 of the family's 1533-position model. The record is from RNAcentral.
GAUGAACGCUGGCGGCGUGCCUAAUACAUGCAAGUCGAGCGAACAGACGAGGAGCUUGCUCCUCUGACGUUAGCGGCGGACGGGUGAGUAACACGUGGAUAACCUACCUAUAAGACUGGGAUAACUUCGGGAAACCGGAGCUAAUACCGGAUAAUAUAUUGAACCGCAUGGUUCAAUAGUGAAAGACGGUUUUGCUGUCACUUAUAGAUGGAUCCGCGCUGCAUUAGCUAGUUGGUAAGGUAACGGCUUACCAAGGCAACGAUGCUUAGCCGACCUGAGAGGGUGAUCGGCCACACUGGAACUGAGACACGGUCCAGACUCCUACGGGAGGCAGCAGUAGGGAAUCUUCCGCAAUGGGCGAAAGCCUGACGGAGCAACGCCGCGUGAGUGAUGAAGGUCUUCGGAUCGUAAAACUCUGUUAUUAGGGAAGAACAAAUGUGUAAGUAACUAUGCACGUCUUGACGGUACCUAAUCAGAAAGCCACGGCUAACUACGUG